AUAAAGUGAAGUUAGCUUAAACUAUAAGCAGUUGAGGUGGGAGGAAACGUUAGCCAUUGUAUCUGUUGUUUGGUCUCCAGCAUCCCUAAUUAUUUAUGGUUUCUAGCUCAUCACUUUCAUAUAUAAAGGGAAAAGAAGUAGAGGAUGAAUUAGAUUUUACUUCCUUAUGAUAAUUGUUUUUUGGAACAUAAGAGGAUUAAAAACAUGUUAAUAGGAGUAAUAAAUGGCAUGUUGAAGUUCUUUAUUUGCUUGAAACAAGGGUUAAGGAGGCUAUGCAUUGGCUAUCUUGGGGAAACAUUUCAGUGGCUGGAAUUAUUUGGAUUAUUUCAAAGAAUCAUAUUGUUUCCGGAUGGAUUUGUGACUACUAGUCAAAGUAUUUAAUGUAGAUUGGAGUUUCAAAAUUCUGACUUCUUUCUUACUGCUAGUAAUGAUAGUGUGGAAAGGAGGGUUUACUGCUGUGAAUGCUCUUGUUUGGCUGGAUAAGCCUUUCAAAUUUUUGGGUUAAGCAUAGUGAUUUUAUGAGUAUUGUUGCUGAGUCUUGGCAUGAUGAGGUUGAUGGUGAUCCUUUGAUGAAAUUAUUUCUUAAGCUGAAGAGGUCUUAAAAAGGAGUUUAAAGGCUUUGAAUUCUGAGGCUUUUGGAGAUAUUUCUGAUCGGGUGCGAAAAAAGAGGGCUGAGCUUGAAGAGUUACAAAUUGCUAGCUUAAGGUGCGAUUAUAACCUCGACUGUCAGAGGCAAAUUGAAAGAGUGCAAGCUGAGGUGAAAGGGUUGCAGGGUGCUAAAGAGAGAUUUUAUCGGCAAAAGGCAAGAGUCCAGUGGCUGCAGGAAGGGGACCACAGCACUAAGUUUUUCCAUAAUGCUGUUGCAGUUAAAAAGAAUAAGCAUACUAUUCGUGCUUUGGUUGAUGAUAAGGGCGCCAAGUUGGACACGCCGGAACAAAUUGAGGUUGAGACUAUUCAGUUUUAUCAAAAUCUGCUUGGUUGUGCUGAUGCUAAGGUUGUGGGUUGUACCGAUCUGCUUCUUAGUGAUUUGUUCUGAGGAAGCACAAAAUGAUAUGGUUCGGCCUGUUACGAGGGAUGAAAUUAAACAAGCUAUCUUUGAUCAAGGUAAUGACGGGACCUGAUGGUUACACAGGUUUUUUCUUCAAGGCAGCUUGGAAUAUCGUGGCAGAUGAUUUUGUUGAUGCUGUGAAGUUUUUCUUUAUUUCUUCAAAGCUGUUGGGAGCUUUUAAUGCAACUACUGUUACCCUUAUUCCUAUCUGUGCUAAUCCUAGCCAUAUCAAGGAAUAUAGGCCUAUCUCCUGUUGUUCUCUUGUUUAUAAAUGCAUCUCUAAGAUUUUGGUUCGGAGGAAGGAACAUGGGUUUUCCCGGUCAAUUUGUUCAGUGGAUUUCAGCUUGUAGUAUUACUCCCAGGUUUUCUAUUUCCGUAAAUGGAGGUGCUAGGGGAAUAAAACAGGACACAGUUGAUUCAGUUAUUGGUAUUUGGUGCAUCCUUCAAGAGUUCUACUAUUUUUCUAGUUUGCAACUUAACGUUUCUAAGACUGAGAUCUUUGUUGCCGGUAUAUAUGGCCAAGGAUGAUCUGGUAACUGUGCAAAGGGUCACUGGUUUUAAGUUGGGAAGGCUGCUCGUAAGGUAGUUGGGUGUGCCCCUGGUUUCUAGGAAGUUGUCUAUUAAUGAAUAUGAUUGUGGUUCUCUUUUGGAGGAAAUUCAGGCAAGAGUCAAUGGAUGGGCUACUCUACAUCUUAGCUAUGUCCGUCGGUAGCAGCUUAUCUAACGGUCUUUGUAAAUAUAUCAUCUUACUUAUCAUUUUCUACUAAUUCAUCUUUUCAUGUAAGUUUUACUUUUUAUAUAUACAAGAGAACGUAACGAGUAAGAAACUUAAA
This is a long non-coding RNA of Gossypium raimondii (Peruvian cotton), 1881 nucleotides long. RefSeq lists it as uncharacterized. The record is from RefSeq and is a predicted model, not a curated record. NCBI's taxonomy places the organism in Eukaryota, Viridiplantae, Streptophyta, Magnoliopsida, Malvales, Malvaceae. The transcript is spliced from 2 exons.